CGUGCCUAAUACAUGCAAGUCGAACGCAUUGUGGUUGAAAUGAUAUGAAGAACUUGUUCAGAUUUGAUUUUCAACAUUGCAAUGAGUGGCGAACGGGUGAGUAACACGUGGGAAACCUACCUCUUAGCAGGGGAUAACAUUUGGAAACAAUGCUAAUACCGUAUAAUAAUUAAAACCGCAUGGUUUUAGUUUAAAAGAUGGUCUUGCCAUCACUAAGAGAUGGUCCCGCGGUGUAUUAGUUAGUUGGUGAGGUAAUGGCUCACCAAGACAAUGAUACAUAGCCGAGUUGAGAGACUGACCGGCCACAAUGGGACUGAGACACGGCCCAUACUCCUACGGGAGGCAGCAGUAGGGAAUCUUCCACAAUGGACGAAAGUCUGAUGGAGCAACGCCGCGUGUGUGAUGAAGGGUUUCGGCUCGUAAAACACUGUUGUAAGAGAAGAAUGACAUUGAGAGUAACUGUUCAAUGUGUGACGGUAUCUUACCAGAAAGGAACGGCUAAAUACGUG
Molecule: ribosomal RNA, 509 nt
Filed under: uncultured bacterium
Lineage: Bacteria
Description: bacterial SSU rRNA
Rfam family: Bacterial small subunit ribosomal RNA
Source: RNAcentral